Molecule: ribosomal RNA, 400 nt
Filed under: uncultured bacterium
Lineage: Bacteria
Description: bacterial SSU rRNA
Rfam family: Bacterial small subunit ribosomal RNA
Source: RNAcentral
UGGGGAAUAUUGCGCAAUGGACGAAAGUCUGACGCAGCGACGCCUCGUGAGGGACGAAGGUCUUCGGAUUGUAAACCUCUUUCAGCAGGGACGAAGCGAAAGUGACGGUACCUGCAGAAGAAGCACCGGCUAACUAUGUGCCAGCAGCCGCGGUAAUACAUAGGGUGCAAGCGUUGUCCGGAUUUAUUGGGCGUAAAGAGUUCGUAGGCGGUUUCUCGCGUCGGAUGUGAAAACUCAGGGCUCAACCCUGAGCCUGCAUUCGAUACGGGGAAACUUGAGGACGGCAGGGGAGACUGGAACUCCUGGUGUAGCGGUGGAAUGCGCAGAUAUCAGGAAGAACACCAAUGGCGAAGGCAGGUCUCUGGGCCGAUUCUGACGCUGAGGAACGAAAGCGUGGGGA